CUUACAAAAACAACACAAAAGUAAACAAAACACGAGGGAAGAAAAAAAAGAAGAAAAUAAAGAAAAAGAAAGAGGAUGGAUAUACCGGAACUAUUGGCGAUAUUCGGGCCGGGUUUUGCCGGCGCCGUAUUCGGAGCUGGUUGGUGGUUUUGGGUCGACGCCGUAGUCUGUAGUGCUGUCGCCGUCUCUUUCGUUCACUAUCUUCCUGGUAUAUUUGCGUCUUUGUCGGCGUUGAUGUUCAAUUGUGUGAGGAAAGAGGACAUUGAUUACUCUCCGUACGAUGAAGGCGAGUGGAGAUUGAAGCUUUGGCUUUUUCUUGCUUAUGUCAUAUCGUUUGUAUCUCUUGCGGCAUCAGUUGGGCUGCUUAUACAAGAUGCCCUGGUGCCUACUGGCCCAUCAGCUUGGACAGGGACGGCUGGUGUCUUGCAGUGCGUAUUUGUGCUAAUCAGGUAAUGUUUAAUCAUAAUUGGAGGAAGAAAGCAUGCUUGAACUACCCAAUGUUAUCAAGAGUGGGCUGAUCUAUUGGACUUCACAUUCCGAGUAGCUGAACACCUUGAAGGUUUUUGAGACUUCAAUGUAUUAUUUACUUUAAGUUGAAUGUGCAGGAAAGUAGAUCAUCUUGUGUAAAUGUUUGCUAUAUGCUAAUGGCUUUGAGCUACAAAUGAAAAAAAAAAAAAGUUCAACUCUUUCUGUUGGCUUUAUUUUCUGGAAUUUGCUCAUUCUUAUAAUUCUGUGAGGCUGUCUCAUCAAGUAAAUGUUAUAUCAUUGUUAAUUUGUAAUGAAGUUCCCACCAUGGACAGAUAAUUACAGACUUCGAUUGUAACUUUCUAAUAUUGUCCUUUGAGGCACUACC
Beta vulgaris subsp. vulgaris (sugar beet) is the source of this 853-nucleotide RNA transcript. RefSeq lists it as uncharacterized. The record is from RefSeq and is a predicted model, not a curated record. The transcript is spliced from 5 exons. Lineage: Eukaryota; Viridiplantae; Streptophyta; Magnoliopsida; Caryophyllales; Amaranthaceae.